GACGAACGCUGGCGGCGUGCUUAACGCAUGCAAGUCGAACGGAAAGGCCCUGCGUUUGUGGGGUGCUCGAGUGGCGAACGGGUGAGUAACACGUGAGUAACCUGCCCUUGACUUUGGGAUAACUUCAGGAAACUGGGGCUAAUACCGGAUAGGAGCUCCUGCUGCAUGGUGGGGGUUGGAAAGUUUCGGCGGUUGGGGAUGGACUCGCGGCUUAUCAGCUUGUUGGUGGGGUAGUGGCUUACCAAGGCUUUGACGGGUAGCCGGCCUGAGAGGGUGACCGGCCACAUUGGGACUGAGAUACGGCCCAGACUCCUACGGGAGGCAGCAGUGGGGAAUAUUGCACAAUGGGCGGAAGCCUGAUGCAGCAACGCCGCGUGCGGGAUGACGGCCUUCGGGUUGUAAACCGCUUUCGCCUGUGACGAAGCGUGAGUGACGGUAAUGGGUAAAGAAGCACCGGCUAACUACGUG
Molecule: ribosomal RNA, 468 nt
Filed under: uncultured bacterium
Lineage: Bacteria
Description: partial 16S ribosomal RNA
Rfam family: Bacterial small subunit ribosomal RNA
Source: RNAcentral